UGCAGUCGAACGAUGACUUCUGUGCUUGCACAGAAUGAUUAGUGGCGAACGGGUGAGUAACACGUGAGUAACCUGCCCUUGACUUCGGGAUAAGCCUGGGAAACCGGGUCUAAUACCGGAUACGACCUCCUGGCGCAUGCCAUGGGGGUGGAAAGCUUUAUGCGGUUUUGGAUGGACUCGCGGCCUAUCAGCUUGUUGGUUGGGGUAAUGGCCCACCAAGGCGACGACGGGUAGCCGGCCUGAGAGGGUGACCGGCCACACUGGGACUGAGACACGGCCCAGACUCCUACGGGAGGCAGCAGUGGGGAAUAUUGCACAAUGGGCGGAAGCCUGAUGCAGCGACGCCGCGUGAGGGAUGACGGCCUUCGGGUUGUAAACCUCUUUCAGCAGGGAAGAAGCGAAAGUGACGGUACCUGCAGAAGAAGCGCCGGCUAACUACGUGCCAGCAGCCGCGGUAAUACGUAGGGCGCAAGCGUUAUCCGGAAUUAUUGGGCGUAAAGAGCUCGUAGGCGGUUUGUCGCGUCUGCUGUGAAAGCCCGGGGCUCAACCCCGGGUCUGCAGUGGGUACGGGCAGACUAGAGUGAUGUAGGGGAGACUGGAAUUCCUGGUGUAGCGGUGAAAUGCGCAGAUAUCAGGAGGAACACCGAUGGCGAAGGCAGGUCUCUGGGCAUUAACUGACGCUGAGGAGCGAAAGCAUGGGGAGCGAACAGGAUUAGAUACCCUGGUAGUCC
This 731-nucleotide ribosomal RNA is filed under the name uncultured Arthrobacter sp. RNAcentral describes it as "bacterial SSU rRNA". It matches the Rfam family "Bacterial small subunit ribosomal RNA", at positions 56 to 796 of the family's 1533-position model. The record is from RNAcentral. Lineage: Bacteria; Bacillati; Actinomycetota; Actinomycetes; Micrococcales; Micrococcaceae.